UGAUUAUAUAGAUGCUAUAUGAGAAUAGAAUAUCAUAAUAAAAGCCAUAUAAUGUGAAAUAUAUAUGGGAAUUAUGACAUUUUAUAUGAUAUACUAAACAAUGAUAAUAGCAAUAAUAAUAAUAAUAUAUGCCUGUAUUUCAUUUGGCAUAAAGAAAUAUUUUUUUUUUUAUUGAUAAACAAACAGCAGCAUUCUUGUAUCCUUGUGAGAGGAUGGGUAGUAUUCAAAGAAAAAGAAAAGGAGAAGGAAAAUCUGUUCAUACACUACUAAUUAUACAAUGCCACAUAUUCUUAGCCCUAUAUAUUUUACCAGCAUCUCCAUGGUCAUUUUCAUACUCUCAGACUUUUAAAUCUUCAGAUGCACAUUCUCUUAUUUUCUCCAAUCUUAUCUUGGGCUCCUUCCUUCACACUUAUUAUCCUACUCAACAUAUGUUCAUUUCAUCAAUCAUACAUUUAUUUCACCUUCCCAAACUACUUCAAAGUUGG
This 485-nucleotide long non-coding RNA is filed under the name Androctonus crassicauda. The record is from RNAcentral. Lineage: Eukaryota; Metazoa; Arthropoda; Arachnida; Scorpiones; Buthidae.